CCUACGGGAGGCAGCAGUGGGGAAUAUUGGACAAUGGGGGCAACCCUGAUCCAGCGACGCCGCGUGUGUGAAGAAGGCCUGCGGGUUGUAAAGCACUUUUAGUGGGGAGGAAAACCCCUGACCUAACACGUCAGGAAUUGACUUAACCCAAAGAAAAAGCACCGGCUAACUCUGUGCCAGCAGCCGCGGUAAUACAGAGGGUGCAAGCGUUAAUCGGAAUUACUGGGCGUAAAGCGUGCGUAGACGGUUAUUUAAGUCGGAUGUGAAAUCCCCGGGCUCAACCUGGGAAUUGCAUUCGAGACUGAAUAGCUAGGGUGCGGAAGAGGGAAGCGGAAUUUCCGGUGUAGCGGUGAAAUGCGUAGAUAUCGGAAGGAACAUCAGUGGCGAAAGCGGCUUCCUGGUCCAGCACCGACGUUCAGGCACGAAAGCGUGGGGAGCAAACAGGAUUAGAUACCCUGGUAGUCCACGCCACUAACGAUAGAGGACGUAGAUGUUGGUAGGGUUAGUCGUUCUAGUGUCGCNGCUACGACGAGUAAGUACCGUCCGUCCGUCGGGUAGGUACGGCCGGCGACGGUUAGGUAACGUACGUAAAGUAGUAAGUUAGUUACGGUCGUUGAGACGUUGCCGACGGACGACGACGAGGGAGGUUAGG
RNAcentral lists this ribosomal RNA (652 nucleotides) under uncultured bacterium. RNAcentral's name for it is "bacterial SSU rRNA". The stretch from base 1 to 544 matches the Rfam family "Bacterial small subunit ribosomal RNA", at positions 338 to 873 of the family's 1533-position model. The record is from RNAcentral.